UACGUAGGGUGCAAGCGUUGUCCGGAAUUAUUGGGCGUAAAGAGCUCGUAGGCGGUUUGUCGCGUCGGCUGUGAAAACUCGGGGCUCAACCCCGAGCCUGCAGUCGAUACGGGCAGACUAGAGUGCGGUAGGGGAGACUGGAAUUCCUGGCGUAGCGGUGAAAUGCGCAGAUAUCGAGAGGAACACCGGUGGCGAAGGCGGCCUUCUGGACAGUGACUGACGCUGAGACGCGAAAGCGUGGGGAGCAAACAGG
RNAcentral lists this ribosomal RNA (253 nucleotides) under uncultured bacterium. Its description in RNAcentral is "partial 16S ribosomal RNA". It matches the Rfam family "Bacterial small subunit ribosomal RNA", at positions 524 to 776 of the family's 1533-position model. The record is from RNAcentral.